Xenopus laevis (African clawed frog) is the source of this 1203-nucleotide long non-coding RNA. RefSeq lists it as uncharacterized. The record is from RefSeq and is a predicted model, not a curated record. The transcript has 5 exons. NCBI's taxonomy places the organism in Eukaryota, Metazoa, Chordata, Amphibia, Anura, Pipidae.
CCCAUGGUCACCUGGUCACAUUGCCUGAGCUACAGGUUGGGGAGAGAGUGAGAGAGUCCCAGGCAGUCUGUGCUGCUGUACAGAAUCUCCUGAACUCUGUGUGGAUCGUUCUGCUGCUGCUUCACUGCUCUGGAUAUCUCCCACUCAUUCUUAGGUAUGAGCAGAAAGCUUCAUAAAUAUGAAUGCCACGAGUCUUCUAAAGCAUUUGAUGACCAAUAUGAAUAAGACUAUCAAAGCAUGCGGCAUGUAUCGACCAGAGCCUUCAGAUUGUUCAGUCAGAUUGUUGAGCUUACAAAUGACUAAUUUUAUUUGAAUCGUUUACUGUUAUGUGUGUAAUUCCAUCAGGAAUAAGCAUUUCUUCUACUCUUUAUGACAAACUGGAGAAAAGGUUCUUUCUAUUAUCCCCACAUCAGCUCCUGUGUUGUUCCAUUUCAUGACAUUUUAAGAACUGUAGAAUUUAUUAUAUAUUUCUAUAUAUUCCUUUAAUGUUUCUCCCUUUCUGAAUUCAGAGAAAUGUGUUUGACAUUUGUGACUGUUUGAUAAAUGGUGCAAAUUAGACUGUCUUUUACCUUUCACAAGUCUAUUGUAUGUGAAUCUGUAUAAUUGUAAACUGAAUCACAAAGUUCAACUUUUUAAAUACCAGUUCAGCUAGUACUCUAUUAGAGUGUUUCAUUGUAUGUCAGCCACACGAUUCGUAGAUAAUGCAAUGAUUGUACAUUCCGUAGAAAAGGCCAAGGCAUAAGAAAAAUGUAAAUGGAAAGUCACAUUGUUAUAUUAAAAGGAAUUAUAAUUUGGAAUUUUGAUAGGAAUUGAGCAUUUAAGCUGCAGGUAUCACAACACCCACAUAUACCUGUGAGAGUGACCUCAAUAUGAUUUGACUGUGUUCAGUUCUCCAUGUUCCAGAAAGACUUCCUCAGUAAUUCUGAAACCUCCUUCAGUAUUAGUGAGGAUAAACUCUGUGCAUAAGUUAGCUACUUUGGUAGCCUGGUCUCUGGACACUUUUUUAAGAGACUUCUUUAAAAAGAAAACUCUUUAUACAACAUUAAUUCAAUUAAAAUGAAUAAUGCUUCUCAAAAGACUGCUGCAAACAACUAGAUAACUGAUCAUGUUUCGAGCCUAAGAGCUGCACAACAAAAAAAAAAAAUUAAUUCAUUAAAGAACUACAAAAUGAAAAAAAAUUCAUAGAAUAGUGUUGUCUUCAUU